AUUGAACGCUGGCGGCAUGCCUUACACAUGCAAGUCGAACGGCAGCACGGGAGCUUGCUCCUGGUGGCGAGUGGCGAACGGGUGAGUAAUGCAUCGGAACGUGCCCUGAAGUGGGGGAUAACGUAGCGAAAGUUACGCUAAUACCGCAUAUUCUGUGAGCAGGAAAGCAGGGGAUCUUCGGACCUUGCGCUUUUGGAGCGGCCGAUGUCGGAUUAGCUAGUUGGUGGGGUAAAGGCCCACCAAGGCGACGAUCCGUAGCGGGUCUGAGAGGAUGAUCAGCCACACUGGGACUGAGACACGGCCCAGACUCCUACGGGAGGCAGCAGUGGGGAAUAUUGGACAAUGGGCGAAAGCCUGAUCCAGCAAUGCCGCGUGAGUG
This 379-nucleotide ribosomal RNA is filed under the name uncultured bacterium. RNAcentral's name for it is "bacterial SSU rRNA". It matches the Rfam family "Bacterial small subunit ribosomal RNA", at positions 30 to 407 of the family's 1533-position model. The record is from RNAcentral.